CUCUGUAUGCAGAUGUUUAUUUUUAGGCAUCAUCUGUAUUGGUUGCUAGUGAAUGCUUAACUUUCACAAAGGGUCAGAAAAGGUCAUCACUAUAGUAAAGCUUUGUAUAAACUAACAACUCUAUCUUGGUUCCUUAUUUAAAGGGAAUAAUAUUGCACAAAAAAUACUCUGAAAAUGUUCUCUUGCAAAAAGAUGAAAAAUCUAUGUUUAUUCAAGCCUGCAGCAUGCCAUAAAAAUUUGGAUGUUUUAAAUAUGCUGAAUGACAUGCAACUCUAGACAUAUCAGAUGAUUUACACAGUAUGUAAUAGGAGAAAUAAUGAUAUCACAUCCUCAGAAAAAAAGCUUUGUUAAAGCAGAGUUAAGUUCAUGCAUGCAUCACAAUUAAACUAAAGAGCAAACCUCACUGUCAUUCUAAAAAGAAAACAUUGUCAUACAUGGAAAUUCCCUGUUAAUGCACAAUUUAAAUUUUUAAUAUUUGGAAGUCAGGGAGUUCAUUCUUUAGGUUCUGCAUUCAGUGAGCAUCCCUACCUGGCACUGAUCUCCACCAGCCAUUUAGCUCGCUGUAGACAAAGGCCUUACCUUGACUUUGCAAAUCCAGAGUAUCACAAUCACGUGUGAACUUGUUUCCUAGUAACUGCCUGCUUGUUCUCUGUUACCUGAUAUUCCUACAAUCCCACCAGGAGCAUGUCUUGAAUUCCUUGGGGCAUGGAAAGCCAUUUUGUUAGCAUAUCCUCUCCCAACAUGUUUGGAGAAGGACUUUGCAACAUUCUUUAAAAAAUAAAUGGAAAUGUGAGCAAGCUUAUUUGGUACCCACAGGUCCUGAGUCUCUUCUUCUAGAAAGGGACCCUCUACUGACCUGGAGUUUUCUAUCCUCUGCUCUUCUGUAUGUAUUGAUUGGGCUUUCUAGACCAUUCUGGAUCUUGAGGUCAUAGGCUUCAGGUUUCCAAAUUACCUGGUCAGAUAUCUAUGCACACUGUAGCUGCAUGCAGUGACAUUCUAAAGCACAAAAAGUGAAUUAUUAGUAGCAGCUUAAGUCACAACAGCAACUAAAAUAUGAACACAAUUUUGCGGUCCUCGUAUGAGAUGAAGCAGGAGAGAAUAUGUUUCUGUGGUCUGGAUGAUGGCUGUUUGGAAUAAGUAGAAAAAAAUCAUUCUGGUUCAGGAUUAGUCAAUCCCUGAAGUUCAGUCUUCAUAUUUGCAGGUUUAAUACUGUUGUGCUUGUUCAGGGCAUUGCUUUUGAAGAGGCUUGCAUGAUUAACAAGCUCAGUUUAGGUGACAUUUGGCUGAGCAGCGCUAUGUCAGCUUGGAAGGAGCAGGGACAGAGGUACAGAAAGUCUCACCAAGGAGAGUUAUUUGGUGUAGGGUGUCAUUUGCCACAGAGUUACUCAGAUGGAAGGAACUUCUGGAAUUAUAUCCAGUCCUAUUCUAGUCCUUCAGAUUUCCCCACUCAAAAGUGUUUUAUACUGCUGCAGCUGAAUGCUUUUCAGAUUAAUCAGACAAUUUUGGACACAGCUGGACAAAGUCAUUUUCUGGUUUAUGUUUCUGUACAAGAGCACAUGAAAUGUAGAUGAUUUAGAAGAAAGCAUGUUGUUCAGUGUUCCCUUUAAGGAAGGGGGGAAGGAAAAUAAACCUUAUCAGUGCUGAGGAUUUUAAAACACUUAGAUUUAACUGAAGUUAUUUUUAAAUGUUGCCUUUUGUAAAAUCUCUAGUUUUCCUUCAAGCUGUGUCAAGUGGCAUAAUAAAGUUGCCUCAGACAUGAGAGGUUGUAGCAAUUUCCCCUAGCUUUUCUUUUCCUUUCUAUGGCAGCCCUGGGCACUGUUAGUUGUGCUCAUUUUGUAGCAAAGCUUCUUGCAGAUGAGGGAAAUUGUGGGAGAGCACUUGUGGAAUAAGAAAAUUAAAAUAACAAUGGAGUCAUGUUGUGAGGUGCAAUGCUCUGUCACUGGCUCAGCACAUUCUUGUACAUAUGGGUGAUGGUCUGCAUGACCUGUACUGACCUAGUUGACUCAAUCAAAAAAAUUGAAAUAAAAUGGUACUAAUAACUUUGAGAUUUCAAGGGUUAUUUAAAGUGUCUACAAAAAUCUUGGGCACACUGGCCUGGAAAAGGAAGGAAAUAAAUGUAGAAGCAGGAUGUGAAAGAGGGAUUCAAGAGAAAAUUGUAGAAUAAGCAUGAAUACUGUUUAGUAUUUUUAAUUUUAAAAAUUAGAAAUACUGGUUAGAACUAGACAAAAACUGGUUAGAAUUCAUAAUCUUAGUAUGGCUCAAUGUGUGAAAUUUUUUACUAAGGAUUAGGUUCUUCAGUUGCCUUAAACUUUAGCAGAAAGUAUGGGACAAUGGAUACCAUUUCUCCACACCAUUUAACAGCAGAAAAAAAAAGUUGGGGGAACAUCUGAGAUGCUGGAACUGUUAAGAAGGGAUGUGUUAUUAACAAAAGACAACAUGCAAGUGCAUGGCAUAGGAAAAACCUUCCAUCCCUUUGAAAAUUGUGGGAAUCCAGGGCUUCCCUCUGUCUACCCUGGCAGGUCUGGGACCCUGGCAGGGGGUCAGGAACCCCCCUGUACAGAGCCCCGAGAGACACUGUCUCUGAUCUCUGUCCAUGGAAAAGUGUUUUCAAUCUUACAGGAUGAAUUACAAGCUCUGAGUGUUUGAUAUGAGUAAUAAUUAAGUGUGGCACGGGUGCAAAAGUAAAAUUUUAGGUUUCUAGAUUAGGGGUUCAGAGGGGACAAGAUGGAGGAAUUGGGUUUGUCUUGUCCUUUUCCUCCUUCUUCAUGCCCUCCAUGUUUCACUGUAGUGUUGGCAUUUUUCUAUUGGUUUAGGCUGGGGACACGCUGUUCAACGUAGAUGAUAGAUAUUGGCACAUUAUUGUAAAUAUAGCACAGGUAGUUUCUGGUAUAUAAUGUUUGUAACAUCCCACUGAGGGCAGAGCCCCACACGCUGCCCUGCAGGACAGACCUGCGGCAGGGCAGCAGAGCAUGUUAGAGAUAAACAGAAUAAACAACCUUGAAACCAGCACAGACGAAUUAUGGCUUCUUCUUUGGCAACGGGGCAGAAAGACAGAGACUUUCUACAAUCUCGGAAUCACCAAUACCCACAGAUUCCAACAGAAAGUAUGGUGAAAUAUAGCAGCAGGAGACUAUUGGCUUUGGAAUAGUCUUCUUAUCCUGCCUCCUUCAGCAUUCUGAUUUUGUCCCUGUCUCUCAGUCCUUCUAUUACAGUGGUGUGCUGGUCUGACCUUAGCAGGAAGCACAGACAGAGGCAAAGGAGGGAACCUGUUCUGUGAAACCAGACACUCAUCUGUCCCCAGUAAUCUAGAGGAACCCACAGUCCAGUGCACUGCAACAAACCUAACUUGUAUUGGGAAAAAAAGAUGGAAAUCACAACUUCCCAAGGGUCCAAAUCGCCACUUCCCAAGUGUCCCAAGGGAGUGUGGGUUGGCAUGGCUGUGCCCUGCAGCACUGGCAGAGGGCUGCUCUGCCACCAUCCCCUACAGGCCUGUUUGGUGUUGUGGGGAAGAGGGCAGAAGGCAGGAGGAGGGAGCACAGGAACAGCUGUGAUCUUCCAGCAGCUUUGCCCCUCUGCAGCCCCAGCUGUGGUGAGCAGGAGGGCUGGGCCAUGCUGGAGGAUGCAGAGAGCUGGGCAAUGCAGCACUGCCCAGUGCUGCCACACUGAGACCUGUCCUCCACCUGCCUUUGAGCAGCCACAUCCUCAGUCCAUGAGCUCAGCAAUGCCAAGUCCUGCUGUGCCUGGGCUCACUGGGGGUGAGGACUGAAAUCCUGAGGCACUACAUAGGGCAGUAUUAGCCAGAAGAGAGAAUUGUUUAAUUGCACCUCUCUUCUGAAAACUUCCUAGCUUGCCUUGAGGGAAUUGUCUAUAGAAGCAUGCACAGUACAUGCACACCUGUCUCCUUGUUCAGAGAGAAUGUGUAGGGAAGGAUGCAGGUUUUGUGGGAAAGGGGAAGGAAAACAUCAGUAUGACUUUAUUAGCAUGAGCUUAAAGGGAUCAAAUUUGGAUUAAAUACAAAAAAUUAUUCAGGUAAGGGAGAAAUGUACCCUUUACCAAACUUAGACUAUUGUUACCUGCACAUAGACUCAAUUAUUAGUUUGGCUGGCACAUAUGAAGACAUAGAGAGAUAGAGGGGUGUGUUCUGAGUUCUGUUUGUAAGGUUUCAUUGCAGCUACCAGGAUCAGAUGUUUCUUUUUCUUCUUCUUUUUUUUUUUUUUUCUUUUUUUUUUCUUUUUUUUGGUAAGGAAAAGAGAAACACUGUGAAAAUUACUAGGCUUCUAAGGAAGUGCAGCUAGUGGAAUACAGUUAUCAGCAGAUUGCAUGCUUUGAUUUGGUCUGAAUAAGUUAGGUGCAUGAAAAAAAAAGUGAUUUACAGAUUUCUCUGC
This 4385-nucleotide long non-coding RNA is filed under the name Taeniopygia guttata (zebra finch). RNAcentral's name for it is "lncRNA (ENSTGUG00000019147.1)". Lineage: Eukaryota; Metazoa; Chordata; Aves; Passeriformes; Estrildidae. The record is from RNAcentral.